GACGAACGCUGGCGGCGUGCUUAACACAUGCAAGUCGAACGGAAAGGCCCUGCUUUUGUUGGGUGCUCGAGUGGCGAACGGGUGAGUAACACGUGAGUAACCUGCCCUUGACUUUGGGAUAACUUCAGGAAACUGGGGCUAAUACCGGAUAGGAGCUCCUGCUGCAUGGUGGGGGUUGGAAAGUUUCGGCGGUUGGGGAUGGACUCGCGGCUUAUCAGCUUGUUGGUGGGGUAGUGGCUUACCAAGGCUUUGACGGGUAGCCGGCCUGAGAGGGGGACCGGCCACAUGGGGACUGAGAUACGGCGCAGACUCGUACGGGAGGCAGCAGUGGGGAGUAUUGCGCAAUGGGCGGAAGCCUGAGGCAGCAACGCCGCGUGCGGGAUGACGGCCUACGGGUUGUAAACCGCUGUGGCCGGUGACGAAGCGGGAGUGACGGUAAUGGGUAAAGAAGCACCGGCUAACUACGUG
Molecule: ribosomal RNA, 468 nt
Filed under: uncultured bacterium
Lineage: Bacteria
Description: partial 16S ribosomal RNA
Rfam family: Bacterial small subunit ribosomal RNA
Source: RNAcentral